Molecule: ribosomal RNA, 460 nt
Filed under: uncultured Desulfobulbus sp.
Lineage: Bacteria; Pseudomonadati; Thermodesulfobacteriota; Desulfobulbia; Desulfobulbales; Desulfobulbaceae
Description: bacterial SSU rRNA
Rfam family: Bacterial small subunit ribosomal RNA
Source: RNAcentral
ACAAGCGGUGGAGUAUGUGGUUUAAUUCGAUGCAACGCGAAGAACUUACCUGGUCUUGACAUCCCGGAGACCCUUAGGAACUAGGGGUGCUUCCAUCUGGAAGAAUCUGGAGACAGGUGCUGCAUGGCUGUCGUCAGCUCGUGUCGUGAGAUGUUGGGUUAAGUCCCGCAACGAGCGCAACCCUUGCCUUUAGUUGCCAGCAGUUCGGCUGGGCACUCUAAAGGGACUGCCGGUGUUAAACCGGAGGAAGGUGGGGAUGACGUCAAGUCCUCAUGGCCUUUAUGACCAGGGCUACACACGUACUACAAUGGCCGAUACAAAGGGCAGCGACACUGCGAGGUGAAGCCAAUCCCGUAAAAUCGGUCUCAGUCCGGAUUGGAGUCUGCAACUCGACUCCAUGAAGUUGGAAUCGCUAGUAAUCGUGGAUCAGCAUGCCACGGUGAAUACGUUCCCGGGCCUU